ACUUGCCUGCAAACAACAAGACCAACCAAUCAGGUACUGCAGUCUUUAAAAUCAAGAGCCAAGGGUGGUCCCUGUGCUCUGAGUGAGGCCUGCCACCACCUCCAGGGGAGCCCCUCGGGCCAUAGUAAGCAUUAAUAAUGUUCAUCUUCGAGUGGCUCUACAAUGGCUUCAGCAGUGUGCUUCAGUUCCUAGGACUCUAUAAGAAAUCUGGAAAACUUGUAUUCUUGGGUUUGGACAAUGCAGGCAAAACCAUUCUUCUUCACAUGCUCAAAGAUGACAGAUUAGGCUAACAUGUUCCAACACUACAUCCCACCUCGGAAGAGCUGAUGAUUGCUGGAAUGACGUUUACCACUUUUGAUCUUGGUGGACAAGAGCAAUCAUAUCAGCUUUGGAAAAAUCAUCUCCCAGCGAUCAAUGGGAUUGUCUUUCUGGUGGAGUGUGCAGAUCACUCUUGCCUCAUGGAAUCCAAAGUUGAGCUUAAUGCUUGAAUGACUAAUGAAACAAUAUCCAAUGUUCCAAUCCUUAUCUUGGGAAACAAAAUUGGCAGGACAGAUGCAAUCAGUGAAGAAAAACUCUGUGAGAUAUUUGGGCUUUAUGGACAGACCACAGGCAAGGGGAAUGUGAUUCGGAAGGAGCUGAAUGCCUGCCCCAUGGGAGUGUUCAUGUGCUGAAGAGGCAAGGCUAGAGUGAGGGUUUCUGCUGGCUCUCCCAGUAUAUUAACUGAUGUUUGGACAGUGAAAAUAAAAGAGUUUUACUCUUCUGGACUGAUCCUAUUCAUGGCUUCCUCUUGAACUUUUCUAAUAGAACAAGGAAAGCUCUCCAACAAUGUCUGGCGUCGAAAAGUCAAGCAUCUGUCAACCCUCAUCACCCAGUGGUGACAUGUGCUCUUCUCCACACUCACUGUUGGGAGAUAAUGCUGCCCAUGUGCUGAUGCAGGUCAGUAUCCAGGGACUUGGAGGCUGGCAGGAUUUGCCAGGUAAAGCUGUUUGUGCCAU
Nannospalax galili (Upper Galilee mountains blind mole rat) is the source of this 995-nucleotide RNA transcript. It is a transcript of the gene named GTP-binding protein SAR1a pseudogene, with no coding region annotated. Lineage: Eukaryota; Metazoa; Chordata; Mammalia; Rodentia; Spalacidae. The transcript has a single exon. The record is from RefSeq and is a predicted model, not a curated record.